GCGGUCUAAUAAGUUGGAAGUGAAAGCCUAUGGCUCAACCAUAGAACUGCUUCCAAAACUGUUAGACUAGAGUCUGGGAGGGGAAGAUGGAAUUAGUAGUGUAGGGGUAAAAUCCGUAGAGAUUACUAGGAAUACCAAAAGCGAAGGCGAUCUUCUGGAACAGUACUGACGCUGAGAUGCGAAAGCGUGGGGAGCAAACAGGAUUAGAUACCCUGGUAGUCCACGCAGUAAACGAUGAAUGUUAGUCGUUGGUAUCCUAGAGAUAUCAGUGAUGCAGUUAACACAUUAAACAUUCCGCCUGGGGAGUACGGUCGCAAGAUUAAAACUCAAAGGAAUAGACGGGGACCCGCACAAGUGGUGGAGCAUGUGGUUUAAUUCGAAGAUACGCGAAGAACCUUACCUAGCCUUGACAUAUUUUAGAAUUCACCAGAGAUGGAGGAGUGCCUUCGGGAGCUAAUAUACAGGUGCUGCACGGCUGUCGUCAGCUCGUGUCGUGAGAUGUUGGGUUAAGUCCCGCAACGAGCGCAACCCUCGUCACUAGUUACUAACGAUUCGGUCGAGGACUCUAGUGAGACUGCCUUCGUAAGGAGGAGGAAGGUGAGGACGACGUCAAGUCAUCAUGGCCCUUACGGCUAGGGCAACACACGUGCUACAAUGGUUAGGACAAUGAGAAGCAAUAUCGCGAGGUGGAGCAAAUCUAUAAACCUAAUCUCAGUUCGGAUUGUAGUCUGCAACUCGACUACAUGAAGCUGGAAUCACUAGUAAUCGUAGAUCAGCUAUGCUACGGUGAAUACGUUCCCGGGCCUUGUACACACCGCCG
This 820-nucleotide ribosomal RNA is filed under the name uncultured Campylobacterota bacterium. RNAcentral's name for it is "bacterial SSU rRNA". It matches the Rfam family "Bacterial small subunit ribosomal RNA", at positions 575 to 1395 of the family's 1533-position model. Lineage: Bacteria; Pseudomonadati; Campylobacterota. The record is from RNAcentral.